This 407-nucleotide ribosomal RNA is filed under the name uncultured bacterium. RNAcentral describes it as "partial 16S ribosomal RNA". It matches the Rfam family "Bacterial small subunit ribosomal RNA", at positions 360 to 774 of the family's 1533-position model. The record is from RNAcentral.
AAUAUUGCGCAAUGGAGGAAACUCUGACGCAGCGACGCCGCGUGAGCGAUGAAGGUCUUCGGAUCGUAAAGCUCUGUCCUUUGGGAAGCAGGUCUUCUGAAUUGCUGGUACCUACGGAGUCAGACCCGGCUCACUAAGUCCCAGCAGCCGCGGUAAUACGUAGGGGGCAAGCGUUGUCCUGAAUUAUUCGGCGUAAAGGGUGCGUAAGUGGUCUUUUAAGUCAGAUGUGAAAGCCCACGGCUCAACCGUGGGAUUGCAUUUGAAACUGGAGGGCUUGAGUGUCGGAGAGGGUAGUGGAAUGCCCAGUGUAGCGGUGAAAUGCGUAGAUAUUGGGAGGAACACCAGUGGCGAAGGCGACUACCUGGACGAUUACUGACGCUGAUGCACGAAAGCUAGGGGAGCAAACA